Long non-coding RNA from Erinaceus europaeus (western European hedgehog), 513 nucleotides. RefSeq lists it as uncharacterized. The transcript has 3 exons. NCBI's taxonomy places the organism in Eukaryota, Metazoa, Chordata, Mammalia, Eulipotyphla, Erinaceidae. The record is from RefSeq and is a predicted model, not a curated record.
CUCACUUCCAAUGGAAUUACCUGAGACUUAGAACUGAAUUACUGAGAGGGAAAAGCAUUUGAAGAACACCUGAAGAGGAAGUCAAGCCUCUUUUCCCACACUUAAAGGAAAGAAAAAGGAAGAACACUGGAGAAGCAGGAUAUCUCACAAUACCACAGAUGACAACCUGCUUCACAGUAUUGGUAACAUUCAUCUAGACAACUUCAGACUCCCAGUGUCAAUAGAAAAUUGACCCAGCACAGAGAAGAUGGUUGCAAUGAAAUUUCUCCCUGUGUCCAUCCUUGAGGAAUCUCACUUUCUACCCAGGAGUACUCAUCUUAGAGGUUCCUCUACUAUCAGUGGUCGGUGCUGCCUUUCCCACAAUUGGAGGCCUGUGAUCUUCGGCCAAGGACAUACUGAUGCGGUCUUUGUGGAAUCAAGCAUUUAUCUGUAGGGAGUUAAUUUCAAGGCUAGAACACACACUAAAAUCAAAGGCCUAUUGUCUUUAAAAAAUAAAAUUAAAAUAUGCAAGAA